AUGACUCUCGGCAACGGAUAUCUCGGCUCUCGCAUCGAUGAAGAACGUAGCGAAAUGCGAUACUUGGUGUGAAUUGCAGAAUCCCGUGAACCAUCGAGUUUUUGAACGCAAGUUGCGCCCGAAACCAUUAGGUUGAGGGCACGUCUGCCUGGGUGUCACAC
RNAcentral lists this ribosomal RNA (161 nucleotides) under Lotus becquetii. RNAcentral's name for it is "5.8S ribosomal RNA". It matches the Rfam family "5.8S ribosomal RNA". From Rfam's summary of the family: 5.8S ribosomal RNA (5.8S rRNA) is a component of the large subunit of the eukaryotic ribosome. It is transcribed by RNA polymerase I as part of the 45S precursor that also contains 18S and 28S rRNA. Functionally, it is thought that 5.8S rRNA may be involved in ribosome translocation. RNAcentral also lists the same sequence under 2 other names. The record is from RNAcentral. Lineage: Eukaryota; Viridiplantae; Streptophyta; Magnoliopsida; Fabales; Fabaceae.